Molecule: long non-coding RNA, 285 nt
Organism: Neltuma alba
Lineage: Eukaryota; Viridiplantae; Streptophyta; Magnoliopsida; Fabales; Fabaceae
Exons: 3
Source: RefSeq, a predicted model, not a curated record
CUCACUACGCUGGGACAAGUGUGUCCAUUAAUUUUGAAAAAGGGGAGACUUACAAGAAGGUGUUUGGCCCUGUAUUUGUCUAUCUCAACUCUGCUUCCAGAAAUAACAAUAUAGACACACUCUGGUCAGAUGCUGUUCGACAGUUCAAUGAGGAAGUCAGAAGCUGGCCCUAUGAUUUCCCUCGAUCUCCAGAUUUCAUUCUACCCAAUCAACGAGGAACAGUAAAUGGGCGAUUGCAAGUCCGAGAUUGGUUCAAGAAGGGAUGGGGAAACUUCAAUGCUAAGU